RNAcentral lists this ribosomal RNA (319 nucleotides) under uncultured Chloroflexota bacterium. RNAcentral's name for it is "bacterial SSU rRNA". It matches the Rfam family "Bacterial small subunit ribosomal RNA", at positions 28 to 351 of the family's 1533-position model. The record is from RNAcentral. Lineage: Bacteria; Bacillati; Chloroflexota.
GAUGAACGCUGGCGGCGUGCCUAAUACAUGCAAGUCGAACGGAGAUUGUAGCAAUACAUCUUAGUGGCGAACGGGUGAGUAACGCGUUGGUGACCUGCCCCGAAGUGUGGGAUAACAGCCCGAAAGGGUUGCUAAUACCGCAUGUGGUUUUUCGGAUUAGAUGCCGAAUUUCUAAAGGAGAAAUUCGCUUCGGGAGGGGCCUGCGUCCCAUCAGCUAGUUGGUAGGGUAAGCCUACCAAGGCGAUGACGGGUAGGGGACCUGAGAGGGUGGCCCCCCACAAUGGAACUGAAACACGGUCCAUACACCUACGGGUGGCAG